GUUGUCGUUGGUUUCUCAGAGAAUAUCUACACUUUCUCUUAUCUCUUGUUUCUCUCCUGUUCUACAUCCUCCGCCGUCAACUACUACUGAUCUGUUCUUUGUGGAUCGAUUCAAACAUCCAUCAGGCUUUCGUGAUUUGGCACAACUAAUUCAAUGUCUGAUGAAGUGGAUUAUGAGAGAAUUGCUCGGGAAUCCAUCGCAUAUAGACGAUCACCUACUCAAGAGCAGAAAGACAGAGAUACGAGAGUUUUCGGAAAAAUACGUAAGCGUAAACCUUAUAAUUUCGAAAGUUUCAGCAAGCGAUUGAAAUAUCAUAAUCGACAUUGUCCAGAGGCUUUAUGGAAUGAGAUUGCCAUAUCUGACGACAAGGAGAGGUAUAUAAAGGAGCUACGGAGGCAGCACCAAGAGAAACUUUCCCGGCGGUUACACCGGGAAACUGCCAAGAGGUUGGGGGUGACUAUGCCUUUAGAUGAUCUUGCGGACGUGAUCACCCCGGUUACUGCUGCAACGAAGAAUAACCAGCACCUAUAGCUUUCAAGAAACGGCAUGCAAUUACGUGUAUCGAUCCAUCCGUACACAGCAAGAGGACACAAUAAAAAGUUAGAGAUGGGUACCCUUCAAGCCCAUGCAAAUGGUUUCCGAUUCUCAAAUUGCAAUAUCCCUUUGCAGAUGGAUGUGAUGUAUGACAACAUAAAGCAUGCUUUCUAUCAAGAUGUUGACGAGAGAAUGGCCCCUUUCUUGCACUUGAACUUGCACAACCCCGUCAUUCUAGGGUCUAAAACAACAAAGGAUAUCCAGUUCGUUUGGUGCAGACCUCUGCGGGGAGUAGAAGGAAGGGACCUCUUGCUCGUGAUUCAGACAAGCUUGACAAAGAGCGGCAAGAGACUGUGGGUAAUCAACUUAUGCAUAAGUUUGUCUGGGAAGUCGAUUCUAUAUGGGGUCCAUUGGCUUCAAAUGAAUUUGAAAUGAUAGAGAUACAUCAUGGAUUCCAUGCAAAUCUCCCCAUCAAGAAACACACUUCCUCACCCUCCUUCCUUGUAAUGACUUUAGAUUGCCUGGUUCACCUUAAUGAAACACCUUUCUUGGUA
Molecule: long non-coding RNA, 1088 nt
Organism: Papaver somniferum (opium poppy)
Lineage: Eukaryota; Viridiplantae; Streptophyta; Magnoliopsida; Ranunculales; Papaveraceae
Exons: 2
Source: RefSeq, a predicted model, not a curated record